Long non-coding RNA from Drosophila subobscura, 317 nucleotides. RefSeq lists it as uncharacterized. The transcript has 2 exons. NCBI's taxonomy places the organism in Eukaryota, Metazoa, Arthropoda, Insecta, Diptera, Drosophilidae. The record is from RefSeq and is a predicted model, not a curated record.
AUUUUCAUUUAGUUGUGGCUCAGUCAUGAAACUCUUCUUCUAUUUGUCCGUUUUUGCUCUCUCUUUUGGCUUGAUUCAGAGCCUUGUGGAUUUACAGCUUCCUCCUGUGGAUGGGUGCAAGGCCAAAUGUCAGCCCGAAAGAUGUGAAUUUAUUUACCAAUCACCUGGGGACUGCACAGAAGGAUUUUGCUGUCGCUAUAAGCCUGAGGAGUAAUAAAUAUCAAUAAUUGGUAGGGUUUCUACCUCAUUGUUCCAUUUUGAAUAUACACGAGUAAGUUGUUAUAGAUAAUUUCAAUAAAGAUUUCUAAAUUCUAUAA